AGAUGUCAGGGCAAUCUGGCUGCAACAUCUGUCACCCCCUUGAUCACCAGAACUGAUUCAGCUGAUCUGGCUGGCUAGGUGGGUGUUCCCUCCCUCCCUAAGCAUUUCAUAUGCAUCCCUCCUGAAGCUGCACACUUGGUCAAAGAGGAUGGCCUUCAUCAAAUGAUGGACUCAUCUUUGUUAGAGGGUAUACAAGUAGCUGCGCUCCCCUGCUAGAACCUCCAAACAAGCUCUCAAAAGCUUUCCUCAUUCCUAUAAUUAUUGCAUCAGUUAGUGUUUGGAUGUUGUCCUCUUUCUUAUGUGUUUCUCCUGUUGGGGGGCUUUUAUUUGGG
RNAcentral lists this small nuclear RNA (332 nucleotides) under Erinaceus europaeus (western European hedgehog). RNAcentral describes it as "7SK RNA". It matches the Rfam family "7SK RNA", at positions 1 to 255 of the family's 331-position model. From Rfam's summary of the family: 7SK was discovered as an abundant small nuclear RNA in the mid-70s but a possible function has only recently been suggested. Two independent studies have found that 7SK RNA binds the CDK9/cyclin T complex (known as elongation factor P-TEFb). Lineage: Eukaryota; Metazoa; Chordata; Mammalia; Eulipotyphla; Erinaceidae. The record is from Rfam by way of RNAcentral.